Molecule: long non-coding RNA, 202 nt
Organism: Cryptomeria japonica (Japanese cedar)
Lineage: Eukaryota; Viridiplantae; Streptophyta; Pinopsida; Cupressales; Cupressaceae
Exons: 3
Source: RefSeq, a predicted model, not a curated record
AUUUGCUGUACAGGAGAUAUCUCAAGAGAUGUUACAAUUCAUGCAAAACUUGCGUAAGGUUGUGGCUGUAGGAGUUGUAGGUGGCUCAGACCUAGUAAAAAUAACUGAACAGCUCGGCAAAAGUGUUAUUACAGAAUAUGAUUAUGUCUUCUCAGAAAACGGUCUUGUUGCUUACAAAGAUGGCAAAUUGAUUGGUAAUCAG